Molecule: ribosomal RNA, 120 nt
Filed under: uncultured bacterium
Lineage: Bacteria
Description: partial 16S ribosomal RNA
Rfam family: Bacterial small subunit ribosomal RNA
Source: RNAcentral
GACGAACGUUGGCGGUGCGCUUUAUACAUGCAAGUCGUGCGCGAAAGGUCCCUUCGGGGACCGAGUAGAGCGGCGAACGGGUGCGUAACACGUGAGCAACCUGCCCUGGAGUGGGGAAUA